UGGGGAAUCUUGCACAAUGGGCGAAAGCCUGAUGCAGCAACGCCGCGUGAGCGAAGAAGGCCUUUGGGUCGUAAAGCUCUGUCCUAAGGGAAGAAGGAAGUGACGGUACCUUAGGAGGAAGCCCCGGCUAACUACGUGCCAGCAGCCGCGGUAAUACGUAGGGGGCAAGCGUUAUCCGGAAUUAUUGGGCGUAAAGAGUACGUAGGCGGUUCUUUAAGCGCAGGGUUUAAGGCGAUAGCUUAACUAUCGUUCGCCCUGUGAACUGGGGGGCUUGAGUAUCGGAGAGGAAAGCGGAAUUCCUAG
This 303-nucleotide ribosomal RNA is filed under the name uncultured bacterium. RNAcentral describes it as "bacterial SSU rRNA". It matches the Rfam family "Bacterial small subunit ribosomal RNA", at positions 355 to 673 of the family's 1533-position model. The record is from RNAcentral.